RNAcentral lists this ribosomal RNA (497 nucleotides) under uncultured bacterium. RNAcentral's name for it is "partial 16S ribosomal RNA". It matches the Rfam family "Bacterial small subunit ribosomal RNA", at positions 28 to 507 of the family's 1533-position model. The record is from RNAcentral.
GAUGAACGCUGGCGGCGUGCCUAAUACAUGCAAGUCGAGCGAACGGACGAGAAGCUUGCUUCUCUGAUGUUAGCGGCGGACGGGUGAGUAACACGUGGAUAACCUACCUAUAAGACUGGGAUAACUUCGGGAAACCGUAGCUAAUACCGGAUAAUAUUUUGAACCGCAUGGUUCAAAAGUGAAAGACGGUCUUGCUGUCACUUAUAGAUGGAUCCGCGCGGCAUUAGCUAGUUGGUAAGGUAACGGCUUACCAAGGCAACGAUGCAUAGCCGACCUGAGAGGGUGUGCGGCGACACUGGAACUGAGACACGGUCCAGAGGCCUACGGGAGGAGGCGUUAGGGAAUCUUCUGGAAUGGGCGAAAGCCUGACGGAGCUAGGCGGAGUGAGUGAGGAAGGUCUUCGGAUCGUAAAACUCUGUUAUUAGGGAAGAACAAAUGUGUAAGUAACUAUGCACGUCUUGACGGUACCUAAUCAGAAAGCCACGGCUAACUACGUG